RNAcentral lists this ribosomal RNA (254 nucleotides) under uncultured bacterium. RNAcentral describes it as "partial 16S ribosomal RNA". It matches the Rfam family "Bacterial small subunit ribosomal RNA", at positions 524 to 776 of the family's 1533-position model. The record is from RNAcentral.
CACGUAGGGUGCGAGCGUUGUCCGGAAUUAUUGGGCGUAAAGAGCUCGUAGGCGGUGUGUCGCGUCGGCCGUGAAAACCUGCAGCUUAACUGUGGGCUUGCGGUCGAUACGGGCAUCACUGGAGUUCGGCAGGGGAGACUGGAAUUCCUGGUGUAGCGGUGAAAUGCGCAGAUAUCCGGAGGAACACCAGGGGCGAAAGCGGCCGACUGGUCGAGUACUGACGCUGAGGCGCGACGGCGUGGGGAGCAAACCGG